CAGUAGCCGCGGUAAUACGUAGGGUGCAAGCGUUAAUCGGAAUUACUGGGCGUAAAGCGUGCGCAGGCGGUUAUAUAAGACAGAUGUGAAAUCCCCGGGCUCAACCUGGGAACUGCAUUUGUGACUGUAUAGCUAGAGUACGGCAGAGGGGGAUGGAAUUCCGCGUGUAGCAGUGAAAUGCGUAGAUAUGCGGAGGAACACCGAUGGCGAAGGCAAUCCCCUGGGCCUGUACUGACGCUCAUGCACGAAAGCGUGGGGAGCAAACAGGAUUAGAUACCCGCGUAGUCCCUGUCUCUUAUAU
This 301-nucleotide ribosomal RNA is filed under the name uncultured bacterium. RNAcentral describes it as "partial 16S ribosomal RNA". It matches the Rfam family "Bacterial small subunit ribosomal RNA", at positions 509 to 809 of the family's 1533-position model. The record is from RNAcentral.